Molecule: unclassified non-coding RNA, 298 nt
Filed under: Hevea brasiliensis (rubber tree)
Lineage: Eukaryota; Viridiplantae; Streptophyta; Magnoliopsida; Malpighiales; Euphorbiaceae
Source: RNAcentral
GUUGAAGAAAAUCUGCUGCAGGCUUAUGCUUUAGCUGUUUUGGCCUUUGCAGAGUUGGCAUUGUGUCUCAUUUUGUUGACCAGAGGACCAAACUGAUCGUGAAGAGGGUAAGAUGCGACAUGUCGAUUUGAUGUACUGUUGCAAGACUAGAUUCAGUUGUUUGACUGUCAACAUUUGUCGCCCACAUAAACAUGUAGCUUGACUUGUGGUUUCUCUCUUCUUCUGUUGAGAUGUCAGAAUCUAUUGUCUUAUGUUUGUUUCUGAUAAACCUAGACUUCCACCAUAAUUUUUCCAUACA